ACGGAAGGCAGCAGUGGGGAAUAUUGCGCAAUGGGGGGAACCCUGACGCAGCAAUACCGCGUGAGUGAAGAAGGUUUUCGGAUCGUAAAACUCUUUUAUUGGGGAAGAAGAAUGACGGUACCCAAUGAAGAAGUCCCGGCUAACUACGUGCGAGCAGCCGCGGUAAUACGUAGGGGACAAGCGUUGUCCGGAAUGACUGGGCGUAAAGGGCACGUAGGCGGUUAAUUAAGUCUGAUGUGAAAGGUACCGGCUCAACCGGUGACAUGCAUUUGAAACUGAUCAACUUGAGUACUGGAGAGGCAAGCGGAAUUCCUAGUGUAGCGGUGAAAUGCGUAGAUAUUAGGAGGAACACCGACGGCGAAGGCAGCUUGCUGGACAGAUACUGACGCUGAGGUGCGAAAGCGUGGGUAGCAAACAGGAUUAGAUACCCUGGUA
RNAcentral lists this ribosomal RNA (435 nucleotides) under uncultured Pseudoramibacter sp. RNAcentral's name for it is "bacterial SSU rRNA". It matches the Rfam family "Bacterial small subunit ribosomal RNA", at positions 341 to 792 of the family's 1533-position model. The record is from RNAcentral. Lineage: Bacteria; Bacillati; Bacillota; Clostridia; Eubacteriales; Eubacteriaceae.